UUGCUCCUUCCAUACUAUCUAUGUAAUCCUGUGAGAGUGAAACCAUUUAGGAGACAUAUCUCUUUUUUUUCCCAAUAUUUGGGAUGAAACAAUGAUAUACAGUUACCUGUUUUGUAUACGAGCCAGCAAGGAAGAAGUUCUUCACAGGUGUCUUUUGAUCAGGUCUGAAGGGGUCUUUACCAGGUCCCUCACGGUACAAAGAUUGCCCGAUUUUGACAACAGAUGACCAAAUAACUUCUAAACCUUGGGAUGAUGGAAAUAGAGCUAAAACCUAAUAAAAUGAACCAUGAAUGGAUAAUUUGUACUGAUGUAUGUUAUCCAGAAAGUUGCAUGACCUUUUGUGGUACUCAGGUCACUAAAAAAAACGUGAGAUAAACAUCUAGGAUAAGAAAACCAAAAAUAGUAACCUAAUAUGUAUUAUAUGAAUUGAAGGUGUCACUGAACGCUACCAACCUGCUUUGCCACUCUCCUUAUGAUUUCAUCAUUUGGUAAGGGCAUGUAAGGAUCGCCAGGCGUCAAAACACAUCUGCAAGAUAAUAUGGUUAUAGUGAGAAACACAGAAUACAAAGACACUUGGCAAAAGGAAGUCAACCAGAUUCCAUGCACAAAAUGAAACUAAAAACGACAAGGAUUAGAAAUUUUUCUUACUGGAGUAAUGAACCUUGCCCUUCUCUGUAGUAGUCUUCUGGUGAAGUGAGUGCUAGAUCUGCAAAGCAAGAGAAAUCUGCAUCUGGAGUAUACAAAAGGUUAUCUAACCCCAGAGCUUGCCUCAAUUGCCUACAUGUUCAAAACAAGGAUCUGUUAAAAAAUGGAAAUUUCUUCAAUGCCUUAGUAAAGGGAAGUGAAGUGAAAGCAUUUUAAUUAUUUAUGUUAUUUUUGAAUAAUGGAUAAGGUAUCUUAUGGUGUUAAUAUAAGUAUGUAAUUACAUUUAACUUACUUAUUUAUUAGUAAUGUCAUAUUUAUAAAUUUUUUAAUUAAAUAAAUAUUUUUUUAAAGAUUGGCGAAUUUUUACGGAUUUACAAAAGUAAAUCCAUAUCCAAUCCACCGCUUGUGGAUUUUUAAAUUUUUAAUCCAAUUCAAUCCACCAAUCCACGGAUAAGAUUUUUACGAACCAAAUUUUUACGGAUCGGACGAAUUGAGCUGAUCGAACCGGAUUCUGAACACCCCUACUAUUGGGUUUCACUUUGUUUUACAUGAAUUUGGGAAAAAUACACGGAUAGACAAGGGAACAGUCAUUGUUAAGCUGUGAAGCUUGUGGAAGAUACCAUUGCCUAUUUGCAGCUUAAACUCCUGGAGCUUUGCUCAUGCUUUCUCUUUCCCACUUUCUCAUGGAACAGAUGUAUACAUCAUGAAAUGAAAACAACAGCACAAAUUGCUGUCUCGUAAGAGAAACAGUCAUACAUAGUAGGUUAGGCCUCAUGUCCAUUAACUUACUAAUGAAUUUUAUGAAAAUUGGCUAUCUCAUUGAAAUUACAUAGGUAUUGGAAACCCUUACUCCAGCUGCAUCAUCUCAUCAGUGAAAGCUGGAUUUUCCAUUUGUUCUUGAGAUUCAUAUUAAGGCAGCAAAUUGCUCAUCCCAUACUAUCUAUGUAAUCCUGUAAAAGGGAAGGGCGUUUAGAUGUGGAAAAACCUUACUCCUGCCGCUGCACCUCAAACAGAUUGCGAUCACACAAGACUUAGUUCAUCAUUAGUAGUAGUUGGAGCUUCCAUUUGUUCUUGAGAUUCAAAGGCAGCAAGCUGCUUCCUCAGUGCUACUAAUUCUUCCCCGGCAUUGCAUAUGUAGGCUGAGGCUUGUCUACCAGACAAAGUUGCUCCUUCCAUACUAUCUAUGUAAUCCUGUGAGAGUGAAACCAUUUAGGAGACAUAUCUCUUUUUUUUCCCAAUAUUUGGGAUGAAACAAUGAUAUACAGUUACCUGUUUUGUAUACGAGCCAGCAAGGAAGAAGUUCUUCACAGGUGUCUUUUGAUCAGGUCUGAAGGGGUCUUUACCAGGUCCCUCACGGUACAAAGAUUGCCCGAUUUUGACAACAGAUGACCAAAUAACUUCUAAACCUUGGGAUGAUGGAAAUAGAGCUAAAACCUAAUAAAAUGAACCAUGAAUGGAUAAUUUGUACUGAUGUAUGUUAUCCAGAAAGUUGCAUGACCUUUUGUGGUACUCAGGUCACUAAAAAAAACGUGAGAUAAACAUCUAGGAUAAGAAAACCAAAAAUAGUAACCUAAUAUGUAUUAUAUGAAUUGAAGGUGUCACUGAACGCU
Molecule: long non-coding RNA, 2255 nt
Filed under: Citrus sinensis (sweet orange)
Lineage: Eukaryota; Viridiplantae; Streptophyta; Magnoliopsida; Sapindales; Rutaceae
Description: long non-coding RNA (CSIN_LNC001299)
Source: RNAcentral